GACGAGGCACUACGGUGCUGAAGCAACAAAUGCCCUGCUUCCAGGAAAAGCCUCUAAGCAUCAGGUAACACGAAAUCGUACCCCAAACCGACACAGGUGGUCAGGUAGAGAAUACCAAGGCGCUUGAGAGAACUCGGGUGAAGGAACUAGGCAAAAUGGUGCCGUAACUUCGGGAGAAGGCACGCUGACACGUAGGUGAAGUGAUUUACUCAUGGAGCUGAAGUCAGUCGAAGAUACCAGCUGGCUGCAACUGUUUAUUAAAAACACAGCACUGUGCAAACACGAAAGUGGACGUAUACGGUGUGACGCCUGCCCGGUGCCGGAAGGUUAAUUGAUGGGGUCAGCGUAAGCGAAGCUCCUGAUCGAAGCCCCGGUAAACGGCGGCCGUAACUAUAACGGUCCUAAGGUAGCGAAAUUCCUUGUCGGGUAAGUUCCGACCUGCACGAAUGGCGUAAUGAUGGCCAGGCUGUCUCCACCCGAGACUCAGUGAAAUUGAACUCGCUGUGAAGAUGCAGUGUACCCGCGGCAAGACGGAAAGACCCCGUGAACCUUUACUAUAGCUUGACACUGAACAUUGAGCCUUGAUGUGUAGGAUAGGUGGGAGGCUUUGAAGUGUGGACGCCAGUCUGCAUGGAGCCGACCUUGAAAUACCACCCUUUAAUGUUUGAUGUUCUAACGUGGACCCGUAAUCCGGGUUGCGGACAGUGUCUGGUGGGUAGUUUGACUGGGGCGGUCUCCUCCUAAAGAGUAACGGAGGAGCACGAAGGUUGGCUAAUCCUGGUCGGACAUCAGGAGGUUAGUGCAAUGGCAUAAGCCAGCUUGACUGCGAGCGUGACGGCGCGAGCAGGUGCGAAAGCAGGUCAUAGUGAUCCGGUGGUUCUGAAUGGAAGGGCCAUCGCUCAACGGAUAAAAGGUACUCCGGGGAUAACAGGCUGAUACCGCCCAAGAGUUCAUAUCGACGGCGGUGUUUGGCACCUCGAUGUCGGCUCAUCACAUCCUGGGGCUGAAGUAGGUCCCAAGGGUAUGGCUGUUCGCCAUUUAAAGUGGUACGCGAGCUGGGUUUAGAACGUCGUGAGACAGUUCGGUCCCUAUCUGCCGUGGGCGCUGGAGAACUGAGGGGGGCUGCUCCUAGUACGAGAGGACCGGAGUGGACGCAUCACUGGUGUUCGGGUUGUCAUGCCAAUGGCACUGCCCGGUAGCUAAAUGCGGAAGAGAUAAGUGCUGAAAGCAUCUAAGCACGAAACUUGCCCCGAGAUGAGUUCUCCCUGAGACUUAGAGUCUCCUGAAGGAACGUUGAAGACGACGACGUUGAUAGGCCGGGUGUGUAAGCGCAGCGAUGCGUUGAGCUAACCGGUACUAAUGAACCGUGAGGCUUAACCUUACAACGCCGAAG
This 1393-nucleotide ribosomal RNA is filed under the name Salmonella enterica. RNAcentral describes it as "partial 23S ribosomal RNA". It matches the Rfam family "Bacterial large subunit ribosomal RNA", at positions 1568 to 2925 of the family's 2925-position model. RNAcentral also lists the same sequence under 3 other names. Lineage: Bacteria; Pseudomonadati; Pseudomonadota; Gammaproteobacteria; Enterobacterales; Enterobacteriaceae. The record is from RNAcentral.